CAGAAAUAGACUCCGAUCAGUCGCUCGACCGAUCCGCAUAUUGUAUGAGGGCGAGCGGCCUGUGUUGGUAAACAAAUCGAGUCAACACGACCGAUAAUAUUUGUAAUUUUUAAGUUUAAAAAAGGUUUAAAAGAAGUAUACAAUAAUAAUGUGAUUAAAAAAUACUUACAUAUGAAAGGUAACGGCAUGUUUUAGUAAAUUUGACGUG
Molecule: unclassified non-coding RNA, 208 nt
Filed under: Melitaea cinxia (Glanville fritillary)
Lineage: Eukaryota; Metazoa; Arthropoda; Insecta; Lepidoptera; Nymphalidae
Description: misc RNA ENSMCXG00005018484.1
Source: RNAcentral